UUGGAGGGCAAGUCUGGUGCCAGCAGCCGCGGGUAAUUCCAGCUCCAAUAGCGUAUAUUAAAGUUGUUGCAGUUAAAAAGCUCGUAGUUGAAUUUCGGGGUCAGCAGGUUGGUCGUGCCUCUGGUACGCACUGGUUUCGCUGAUUCCUCCUUUCUGAAGAACUGUAAUGUCAUUAAUUUGGUGUUGCAGGGAAACAGGACUGUUACUUUGAAAAAAUUAGAGUGUUUAAAGCAAGCUAACGCUUGAAUACAUUAGCAUGGAAUAAUGAAAUAGGACGUUUGAUCCUAUUUUGUUGGUUUCUAGGAUUGACGUAAUGAUUAAUAGGGAUAGUUGGGGGCAUUAGUAUUCAAUUGUCAGAGGUGAAAUUCUUGGAUUUAUUGAAGACUAACUACUGCGAAAGCAUUUGCCAAGGAUGUUUUCAUUAAUCAAGAACGAAAGUUAGGGGAUCGAAGACGAUCAGAUACCGUCGUAGUCUUAACCAUAAACUAUGCCGACUAGGGAUCGGAUGAUGUUAAUUUUUUAAUGACUCAUUCGGCGCCUUACGGGAAA
This 549-nucleotide ribosomal RNA is filed under the name uncultured Glomus. RNAcentral's name for it is "SSU rRNA". It matches the Rfam family "Eukaryotic small subunit ribosomal RNA", at positions 548 to 1097 of the family's 1831-position model. Lineage: Eukaryota; Fungi; Glomeromycota; Glomeromycetes; Glomerales; Glomeraceae. The record is from RNAcentral.